This is a long non-coding RNA of Sander lucioperca (pikeperch), 425 nucleotides long. RefSeq lists it as uncharacterized. The record is from RefSeq and is a predicted model, not a curated record. The transcript has 3 exons. NCBI's taxonomy places the organism in Eukaryota, Metazoa, Chordata, Actinopteri, Perciformes, Percidae.
UGUAAAACGGGGCGGGGGGAUCUCUCCUAUGUAGUGAAAAUAGGACAAGGGGUCAUAAAUCCAAAACUAUUUUGUUUUUAAUUAAAGAAAAAUCUAUACAAAUGUAUAAACAUCUAUACAAAUGUAUACACAUGUAAUAACAGCAUAACACAUGUCACACAUGACAUGAUGGCAAAGUGCGUCAUGCUACAAUCUUCUCCAAAAAAACUGAGCUCUCCCUUUACCAUUCACACUGCUGAUACAUUUGAUGUGACUGUAAAUUCAAAGGCUCGUUUACAUUCAAACCGGUGACAAUUUCGGUGGGGCACAGCCUAUUUGUUCAACCGAGACUAAUGUUCACAGCCCAGACUAGCAGCUAGCUUCUACACACCUAAGUAGCCCGUAUGAGCUAAUUAGAUAUACUGUUUGUGACAUUAAUUUAGCCA